GUCUAGAUACAUCAGUAUUUUAAUGGCAAGUACAGGCAGUGCUCUAUCAACAUGAAAUCUUGAGAAAUUAAUUAACGGAAUUGAAAUCAAUUUAAUCAGAAAUUGUUUUUAACUGUAUCAAAAUUAAUGUGCUUAACAGUUCAAUAAAGUACGAUAUCAACAUUCUUAAAAUAGGGACAUGUACGUAAAGGAUCAAGGUGACAGAGCAUUUCAUUACCGCGGUGCGCCGCAAAUCAGGCGACCGGUCGCGCGUCGCGGUCUACAGUGUUUUGGAAAGCCACUUUCUAAGUGUUGGCCGCUCAGAUCAGGCAAAUACCCCACUGUGCGAUGCAAGAAAAAUUUAUAUAGAAAAAUGUUAACAGAUUUCUGAUAACA
This is a non-coding RNA of Nomia melanderi (Alkali bee), 375 nucleotides long. The record is from RefSeq and is a predicted model, not a curated record. Lineage: Eukaryota; Metazoa; Arthropoda; Insecta; Hymenoptera; Halictidae.